AUAUUGGUCAAUGGGCGGAAGCCUGAACCAGCCAAGUCGCGUGAGGGAUUAAGGCCCUAUGGGUCGUAAACCUCUUUUGUUAGGGAGCAGGGUCGUCCACGUGUGGGCGUAUGGAGAGUACCUGAAGAAAAAGCAUCGGCUAACUCCGUGCCAGCAGCCGCGGUAAUACGGAGGAUGCGAGCGUUAUCCGGAUUUAUUGGGUUUAAAGGGUGCGUAGGCGGGACCUUAAGUCAGCGGUAAAAUUGCGGUGCUCAACGCCGUAGAGCCGUUGAAACUGGGGUUCUUGAGUGAGCGAGAAGUAUGCGGAAUGCGUGGUGUAGCGGUGAAAUGCAUAGAUAUCACGCAGAACCCCGAUUGCGAAGGCAGCAUACCGGCGCUCAACUGACGCUGAGGCACGAAAGUGCGGGUAUCGAACAGG
Molecule: ribosomal RNA, 418 nt
Filed under: uncultured bacterium
Lineage: Bacteria
Description: bacterial SSU rRNA
Rfam family: Bacterial small subunit ribosomal RNA
Source: RNAcentral